AGACAACUGGACAAGUGGGCCUUGCGUGUACAGAUGGAACAACCAUGGCGGCCAGGUUGAGUGGCCCAAAAUGGAAGACUGUUGGCAACAGGUUACCCAUCGCAUAUUCCAUGAUAGCCAGCCUCUCGAGAUGAAUAUCAUGAAUCCCCAGAGACAACUGGACAAGUGGGCCUUGCGUGUACAGAUGGAACAACCAUGGCGUGGCCUUGAGUGGCCCGGGAUGGAAGACUGUUCGCAACAGAGAACCUGUCGCAUAUUCCAUAACAACUGUCCUGGCAAGACAAGGCAUGUGAGCCCCCAGGGACUUCUGGGCAAUUGGCCCUUCGAUGUACAGGUGGAUCACCCAUGGCGCCAGAUUGAGUGGCCCAGGAUGGAAGACCAUUGGCAUCGGAGACCCAUCACAUAUUCCAUGACUCCCAGCCUGGAAAGUCGAGGCCUACGAGCCGCCACGGGCCACUGGACACGCGGCCCUUGGUGGUACAGGUGGAACACCAAUGGCUGUGCAUUUGGAGCGAAGGACAACAGUGGCAGAUUUAUGGACCAUCCAACAGUUUUCCUCUCCCAUAAUCAGUUCCUCUCUGGCGGAAUUCCAGAUCCACAAGUGAGAGUUACACAACUGGAAGUGAUGUUAGAGAGAAGGGAUAUUUUGCUGCUUGGAAUUCCACUGCCACCCCCAAAGAAGUGCUGUUUUCGUCACUUGUAUGAGCUCCUUUCUCUGGGAAAAUUCACAGCAUUGCUUUCUAGAGACUGACAUGUUCCAAAAACUAGGUUUCAUAUGAAUGAACUUAUUCCUUCCCCUUGAGAUGAGACAUAAAGAAAAAUGUUAGGAAUAAUUCUGCCUCCAUCCUCAAAGGCCUGUGUGAAUUCUCACAAAGAAGAUGACUUCCUGGGAGCUCUUUUGAGCAUGAAUGAUACCAGUAAACCCCUGAAGGAAGACUCUCAGACAGAGCCCUUUUGCCUCCCUCUUGUCUGAGGGCUGCCCUCUGAAGGUGAUGACCACAGAGACAAGGUGGAUUUGUUACUGUAGGUGCCAUUACUUCUGCCACCAGCUUCUCCAGUACAGUGACAGUCUUCUUUGUGCAUGGAAACUCUGCUCUUUCCUGUGUUGCAGUGGAUACCUCCUGCAGAUAAGAAAUGACAGACAACAUCUGCAAAGGAAGGAUUAUCUGAGUGCAGCCUGCUGCUCCUGGUGCAACUGAUGUCAGCCUUGGUGCCGCAGCUGGGUAGACGGAAACUCAAGUCCUUUACAGCUUCCUUAUUUCCAGAAAGCUUUGGAGGUAAGACUACUUAGAUUCCUGUGCAUAGAUGCACUUCAUGGGGCAUGCCUCACUUGGGUUGAAGAGAAGAAUUCAUAUGGUUCUGAAGAGAGAUGAUCACCUAAAAAUCAUGUUCGAUAGAAGUAUGCUGAGGCCCAUUGGAGAUUGCAGCCCAGAAGCUAGAGGUCAGGGACCUUUCUUUUUUCUCUGAAACCCUGGGAUUUAGGUGUGGAGGCACCCUACCCCUUGAGGAAAGCCCUUGAGUCUCUACACAGACAACACCCCAGAGGAAGGAAGAUCUGAGCGUGGCCUGCUGCCCCUAGGGCAAUCGAUAUCAGCCUUGAUCCAGCCUUUGGUGUGGACAGAAACUCACAUCCUCUGGGGCAUCCUCCUUUCCAGAAAGCAUCAGAAUCAGACAUUCUGGAGAAGGCCUCACUGUAACCUGAACAAUUCAAGACAGACAACGUCCCCAGAGGAAGGAAGAUCUGAGUGUGGCUUGCUGCUCCUGGGGAAUAAAUGUCAGCCUUGGUGCAGCACCUGGGGUAGCCAAAAACUCACAAUCUUUGGGACAUACCCAUUUCCAGAAAGCUUCAGAGGUCAAAAACUAGAACAAGUUACCGUGCUUUCAAGUGAACAAGUUAUUUUCAAGGAAGGAAAGUGAGCAGCUACACUGCAGGACUGGAAUCAGGACUUCCGCUUCAGAGGAUGGGGUUGACCAUUCUGUGGGUGACGGAGAAGAAUUAAUAUUAUCACUAACCAUACACUCUGAAGUUGACAGAUACUGCCAUAUGCAGCCAAGUAAUAGGCUGGAAUAAAUCUUACACGGGAACAGGAAAUAGUUACAGAGUAAUUAAAAAACAGAGUGGGAAGAAGGCAACUUACAAGCAGACAAGAGAAACAUAACUACUGCUGCUGCUGCUGCUGCUAAGUCUGCUUCAGCCGUGUUCGACUCUGUGCAACCCCACAGAUAGCAAGCAGCCCACCAGGCUCCUCCAUCCACAGGAUUUUCCAGGCAAGAACACUGGAGUGGGUUGCCAUUUCCUUCUCCAAAACAUACCACUAGUAGUCACCAAAAUUUACUUCCUCUCCUUUCUGGGUACAGAGUUGGACACAUUCUCCUUCUUUCCCAGCUUUCUGAGAUAAGUGCUACUUUCAGGCCAAGGCUCUUCUCCCUCUGGCUAAUGGGAUGACACUCCUAGGAUGAUUCUGAAAAUUGUGCUGAGGAUAAUAGUUGCCAAUAAAGCUCCAUCUUUGAAUGACUGCGUGAACCAGAACUCUCUGCCAAUCCAGGAUAUUACAAUUGUUGGACGAGCUAGAAAUAAAUUUCCACUGUUUGUAAUAAGACAGCAUUCGUUCUGGAGUCUACUUAAUAUUGCACUCUAGCUGAUCCUUACAAGAAGCCUUUCAUUUCCUCCACCUUGACUUCAGUCUUUAAAAUACAAGUAAUGGUUAUCUCCCCUAAACUGAUGUUACCACUGUUUUUUCAGCUUGUAAUAUUUAAAUCCAUGGGAGUUUAUUAAGAUUUUCUAUUAUAUCCAUUCUUCCCUAUAAAGAAAUAAUAUCCUAAGGCAAAAAUGACAGGAGAUCAUGAAAGGCCAGACUGAAUUCAACUUACUACACAUUUUCACAGUUACAAAAAUGCUAACAAGGUGAAAUGCUAAUGAAAUCAAAGAAGAAAUAAAAAAGAAGAGAACACUUCAAGGACUUUUUGAGAUAAAAAUAUCUGGAGCAAUGGAUUGUUACAGACAUGACAAAGUCUGUUGCAGUUUGCUGGAAUUCAUGUUACCUCCCUCUCAUAUCUGUCUUUAAAUAAUGUGGCUUAGGCCUACUUAGAAGCUUUUGUUAUUAGACUUUUUUAUAUCUGCCAUUAUCCUCUUUCAGAAAAACCAGACAACGCUAUGACUCUCGUUAUCUUUAAUGACAAAAUUUAAAUCUAUAUGUAUAUUCCCUUGAGAGGAAUAGAGUAAAUAUAGAGAUUAUGGAAUGCAUGAGUACUUAAGAAGACUGCCACUGCAUGAGAUACAUUAGAAAAAGAAAACCUCCAUGUGUUCCUUCUCUCACACUUUCCUUACUCAAGAAAAAAAUACAAGCCCACACACAAAAAUGAACCUUAACACACUAUUUUCUAAAACUCCAAGUUCUGAUCUUACUCAAAUGUUGAUUUAUUUUGUGCACCUUAAUCUGAGCUUUUAUAGUGUUUGACCUUUUCAAAGAAGGUACUGAGUGACUGAAGCGGAAAACAAUGUAAAACAAUCAAACUCAAAAAGUAGCAAACCCCAAUGCUUGGGAACAUCACACAAUACAGCAAUGUGUUGACUUAACACUUCAUAAAGCUCCCAUGAAGUUCAACUAAGAAAAAAAAAACAACUUUAAAAUUAAAAUAACUAUAAUGUACUCAUUCCAUGAUUGAUUAUCAACUAAAAAAAAAAAUCAGAAAAAUCCAUCCUAUUAUCUGAAAUAAGCCUAUAUAAUUACAAAUUUUCACUACCAAAGCUGAGAAAUAUACCUCAGUAACAGUACUUUUUCUGUUAUGACUUGCAUGAAUAUCAAAUAGUGUGUGCUCAGUCUUGUCUGACUCUUUGUGAUCCCAUGAGCUGUAGGCCAUCAGCCUCUGUCCGUGGAAUUUUCCAGGCAGGAAAACUGGAGUGGUUUGCCAUUUCCUACUCCAGAAAUUCUCUCUGACCCAGGGAUCAAACCCAAAUCUCCUGCACUGGCAGGCAGAUUCUUUACUACUGUGCCACUGGGAAAACCCCAAGGUAUAAAAGAAAAUGUUUUAACAGUCAACAAUUUAUUGUAUAUUAUAAGUACUUCAAUAAAAUAAAACUUCAAUAACAACAAAUUAUGGGAUACAAUAAUAAAAUAAAUGUAUUUUAAAUGAAAAUACAUAAGCAAAAGUGCUUCAAUGCUAUGG
RNAcentral lists this long non-coding RNA (4167 nucleotides) under Bos indicus x Bos taurus (hybrid cattle). RNAcentral describes it as "LOC100848941 brain isoform". The stretch from base 1333 to 1413 matches the Rfam family "Small nucleolar RNA SNORD115". The record is from RNAcentral. Lineage: Eukaryota; Metazoa; Chordata; Mammalia; Artiodactyla; Bovidae.